RNAcentral lists this long non-coding RNA (222 nucleotides) under Olea europaea (common olive). RNAcentral describes it as "long non-coding RNA (OEUR_LNC002697)". Lineage: Eukaryota; Viridiplantae; Streptophyta; Magnoliopsida; Lamiales; Oleaceae. The record is from RNAcentral.
AAAGAAUUAAUUGCAACUAAUACCCCAAAAUUUCAAAAAAUUACAAAUUAGUAAUAAAUAUAGGAGUUAAUAGCCCAAAUGGUUACUAAACUUUGCCAAAGGUCCAAAAAGGUCAUUGAACUUUUUUAAAUACAAAAAGAAAAAAAAAACCAAAAAAACCAACAAAAAAAUUGAAGAAACGGGCCCCACCAACAAAAAAAGGACCAAAAAUAAUAAUAAUAA